This 23-nucleotide microRNA is filed under the name Cordylochernes scorpioides. Lineage: Eukaryota; Metazoa; Arthropoda; Arachnida; Pseudoscorpiones; Chernetidae. The record is from RNAcentral.
CCACAGACACCGCAGGGAAAGAC